UACGUAGGGUGCGAGCGUUAAUCUGAUUUACUGGGCGUAAAGCGUGCGCAGGCGGCCCGUUAAGACAGGUGUGAAAUCCCUGGGCUCAACCUAGGAAUUGCGCUUGUGACUGGCGGGCUCGAGUACGGUAGAGGGGGGUGGAAUUCCUGGUGUAGCAGUGAAAUGCGUAGAGAUCAGGAGGAACACCGAUGGCGAAGGCAGCCCCCUGGGCCUGUACUGACGCUCAUGCACGAAAGCGUGGGGAGCAAACAGG
Molecule: ribosomal RNA, 253 nt
Filed under: uncultured microorganism
Description: partial 16S ribosomal RNA
Rfam family: Bacterial small subunit ribosomal RNA
Source: RNAcentral